GAGAGAUAAUUAGAGGCAUGGAAGAAGAAGAAGAACUUAUGUUCAACUUUCCAUUUUCGCACCUAUAGGACAGCCUUCACCAAAAAGCUUCUGUUUUGAAGGAGAAAACUGACCUUGAAGUUGUGUCAGUUAUGCAGAAUGUGUGUCAAAGAUUGGUUACGGGUUUGAUCAUGUUAGAGGUGAAGUUUUGGCAUCAAUGGAAGUUCAAUGGCUGCAUGAUCAUCAUCUCAACCUUCUUUUAGCAAGGUGCAGUUAGUAGCGUUUGGUCAGUAACAGGUUUGGACUGAAGACUUGGAAGUGGUGUUGGCUCGAAGACCUCGUUGGUUUUGACAUUCCGCUGUGCAAGAUCCAUUGAAGACACAUGUUUUGUAAUUAUUAUUAUUAUUUCAUGUUGUAUUCUAAAUGGAUCAUCUUGUAUCCAUAGCUUUUGUAUGUACUCAAUAUCAAUUUUAACGUUUCAUGCAUAA
Long non-coding RNA from Vicia villosa (hairy vetch), 467 nucleotides. RefSeq lists it as uncharacterized. The record is from RefSeq and is a predicted model, not a curated record. NCBI's taxonomy places the organism in Eukaryota, Viridiplantae, Streptophyta, Magnoliopsida, Fabales, Fabaceae. The transcript is spliced from 3 exons.